GGGGGGCUGGCGCAACGGCAGCGCGUUGGAUUCCAGCUAUGUGUCUCGCUUCAGAGCACGUCGCAACCCAAAGGUUAUCCGUUCAAAUCGGGUGUCCCUCA
RNAcentral lists this transfer RNA (101 nucleotides) under Verticillium nonalfalfae. Its description in RNAcentral is "tRNA-Trp". It matches the Rfam family "tRNA". From Rfam's summary of the family: Transfer RNA (tRNA) molecules are approximately 80 nucleotides in length. Their secondary structure includes four short double-helical elements and three loops (D, anti-codon, and T loops). Lineage: Eukaryota; Fungi; Ascomycota; Sordariomycetes; Glomerellales; Plectosphaerellaceae. The record is from RNAcentral.